GAUGAACGCUGGCGGCGUGCCUAAUACAUGCAAGUCGAGCGAACAGACGAGGGGCUUGCUCCUCUGACGUUAGCGGCGGACGGGUGAGUAACACGUGGAUAACCUACCUAUAAGACUGGGAUAACUUCGGGAAACCGGAGCUAAUACCGGAUAAUAUAUUGAACCGCAUGGUUCAAUAGUGAAAGACGGUUUUGCUGUCACUUAUAGAUGGAUCCGCGCCGCAUUAGCUAGUUGGUAAGGUAACGGCUUACCAAGGCAACGAUGCGUAGCCGACCUGAGAGGGUGAUCGGCCACACUGGAACUGAGACACGGUCCAGACUCCUACGGGAGGCAGCAGUAGGGAAUCUUCCGCAAUGGGCGAAAGCCUGCCGGAGCAACGCCGCGUGAGUGAUGAAGGUCUUCGGAUCGUAAAACUCUGUUAUUAGGGAAGAACAAAUGUGUAAGUAACUAUGCACGUCUUGACGGUACCUAAUCAGAAAGCCACGGCUAACUACGUG
RNAcentral lists this ribosomal RNA (497 nucleotides) under uncultured bacterium. RNAcentral describes it as "partial 16S ribosomal RNA". It matches the Rfam family "Bacterial small subunit ribosomal RNA", at positions 28 to 507 of the family's 1533-position model. The record is from RNAcentral.